ACGAACGCUGGCGGCGUGCUUAACCCCUGCAAGUCGAACGGUGAAGCGCCUUCCUUUUUGGUGGGUGUGGAUGAGUGGCGAACGGGUGAGUAACACGUGAGUAACCUGCCCCCUUCUUCUGGAUAACCGCAUGAAAGUGUGGCUAAUACGGGAUAUUCUGGGUCUGUCGCAUGAUGGGUCUGGGAAAGAUAUUGUUUCGGUGGGGGAUGGGCUCGCGGCCUAUCAGCUUGUUGGUGGGUGAUGGCCUACCAAGGCGGUGACGGGUAGCCGGCCUGAGAGGGUGGACGGUCACACUGGGACUGAGACACGGCCCAGACUCCUACGGGAGGCAGCAGUGGGGAAUAUUGCACAAUGGGCGCAAGCCUGAUGCAGCGACGCCGCGUGAGGGAUGGAGGCCUUCGGGUUGUGAACCUCUUUCGCCAGUGAAGCAGGCCUGCCUCGUUUGUGGGUGGGUUGACGGUAGCUGGAUAAGAAGCGCCGGCUAACUACGUG
RNAcentral lists this ribosomal RNA (492 nucleotides) under uncultured bacterium. RNAcentral describes it as "partial 16S ribosomal RNA". It matches the Rfam family "Bacterial small subunit ribosomal RNA", at positions 29 to 507 of the family's 1533-position model. The record is from RNAcentral.